GAUGAACGCUGGCGGCGUGCCUAAUACAUGCAAGUCGAGCGAACAGACGAGGAGUUUGCUCCUCUGACGUUAGCGGCGGACGGGUGAGUAACACGUGGAUACCCUACCUAUAAGACUGGGAUAACUUCGGGAAACCGGAGCUAAUACCGGAUAAUAUAUUGAACCGCAUGGUUCAAUAGUGAAAGACGGUUUUGCUGUCACUUAUAGAUGGAUCCGCGCCGCAUUAGCUAGUUGGUAAGGUAACGGCUUACCAAGGCAACGAUGCGUAGCCGACCUGAGAGGGUGAUCGGCCACACUGGAACUGAGACACGGUCCAGACUCCUACGGGAGGCAGCAGUAGGGAAUCUUCCGCAAUGGGCGAAAGCUUGACGGAGCAACGCCGCGUGAGUGAUGAAGGUCUUCGGAUCGUAAAACUCUGUUAUUAGGGAAGAACAAAUGUGUAAGUAACUAUGCACGUCUUGACGGUACCUAAUCAGAAAGCCACGGCUAACUACGUG
This 497-nucleotide ribosomal RNA is filed under the name uncultured bacterium. Its description in RNAcentral is "partial 16S ribosomal RNA". It matches the Rfam family "Bacterial small subunit ribosomal RNA", at positions 28 to 507 of the family's 1533-position model. The record is from RNAcentral.